RNAcentral lists this transfer RNA (73 nucleotides) under Gemmatimonadales bacterium. RNAcentral describes it as "tRNA-His". It matches the Rfam family "tRNA". Rfam says of the family: Transfer RNA (tRNA) molecules are approximately 80 nucleotides in length. Their secondary structure includes four short double-helical elements and three loops (D, anti-codon, and T loops). Lineage: Bacteria; Pseudomonadati; Gemmatimonadota; Gemmatimonadia; Gemmatimonadales. The record is from RNAcentral.
UUGGCCGUGGUGUCAGUGGACAGCACGCGGGGCCGUGGCUCCCGAGGGAUGGGUUCGAAUCCCAUCGGCCAAC